RNAcentral lists this unclassified non-coding RNA (168 nucleotides) under uncultured Herpotrichiellaceae. Its description in RNAcentral is "sequence contains ITS2". Lineage: Eukaryota; Fungi; Ascomycota; Eurotiomycetes; Chaetothyriales; Herpotrichiellaceae. The record is from RNAcentral.
UCACCCCUCAAACCUCACGUUUGAUGUUGGACCGCGUUGGCUCCUCCGGGACCAACUGGUCUUAAAGACAAUGACGGCGUCCGUGGGACCCUCGGUGCAACGAGCUUUUCGAAGCACGCGUCGAGUUGAAAGGACCCUCCGGGCCGGUCUGACCUCCUUUAUUUUUCA